UACGAAGGGGGCUAGCGUUGUUCGGAAUUACUGGGCGUAAAGCGCGCGCAGGCGGUUCGAUAAGUUAGGGGUGAAAUCCCUGGGCUCAACCCAGGAAUGGCCUUUAAGACUGUUGAGCUAGAGGACGAGAGAGGUGAGUGGAAUUCCCAGUGUAGAGGUGAAAUUCGUAGAUAUUGGGAAGAACACCGGUGGCGAAGGCGGCUCACUGGCUCGUUUCUGACGCUGAGGCGCGAAAGCGUGGGGAGCAAACAGG
Molecule: ribosomal RNA, 253 nt
Filed under: uncultured bacterium
Lineage: Bacteria
Description: partial 16S ribosomal RNA
Rfam family: Bacterial small subunit ribosomal RNA
Source: RNAcentral